This 325-nucleotide long non-coding RNA is filed under the name Mus pahari (shrew mouse). RNAcentral describes it as "lncRNA (MGP_PahariEiJ_G0002393.1)". Lineage: Eukaryota; Metazoa; Chordata; Mammalia; Rodentia; Muridae. The record is from RNAcentral.
CUCUGUUAUCACGGAGGGAGAAACCACAGCUAGUAACUGACUACACCAUAUUUGGAUCCCUGCCUGCCACGCUCUGAAGUGUGGAGCCUGCUCCUGUAUCCUGCUGGGGGAAUUCUCUGGCCCGUCUCCUUUCUACACCUCUAAGAAGGCAUUUCUUUUUCACCGUGACUCCUGAAAGUCACGUAGAUCUUAUCAGUUCUUACUGGGACCUGAAGACUUGGCUACAGCUCCUGCCUCAGGCGUGGCAGAGGAGAUCUGGUGGGAAGGAAAGAGGCAACAAACCCAGAGGACAGCUUACGGGAGCUGGUUCUCUCCUUUCACCAGG